AGCUCCAAUAGCGUAUAUUCAAGUUGUUGCAGUCAAAAAGCUAGUAGUUGAACUUUUUGUCUGGAUGGCUCAGUCUGAUGCUUAUGCAUGAGUACCUGAGCCAUCCGACCAUCCUUGGGUGGAACCUGUGUAGCAUUAAGUUGUCGUGUAGGGGAUGCCCAUCUUUUACUGUGAAAAGUUAGAGUGUUCAAAGCAGGAUUAUGCCUUUGAGUAUAUUAGCAUGAAAUAAUGAUAUAGGACUUUGUUACUAUUUUGUUGGUUUGUGCACUAAAGUAUUCAUUAAUAGGGAUAGUUGGGGAUAUUAGUAUUUUUAGGUCAGAGGUGCAAUUCUUGGAUUUUUUAAAGACUAACUACUGAAAAAUCAUUUAUCAAGGAUGUUUUCA
Molecule: ribosomal RNA, 383 nt
Filed under: uncultured eukaryote
Lineage: Eukaryota
Description: SSU rRNA
Rfam family: Eukaryotic small subunit ribosomal RNA
Source: RNAcentral